GUCUGGGUGGCUCAGUCGGUUGAGCAUCUGACUUCGGCUCAGGUCAUGAUCUCACGGUCCGUGAGUUCGAGCUCACGUCGGGCU
RNAcentral lists this transfer RNA (84 nucleotides) under Felis catus (domestic cat). It matches the Rfam family "tRNA". Rfam says of the family: Transfer RNA (tRNA) molecules are approximately 80 nucleotides in length. The record is from Rfam by way of RNAcentral. Lineage: Eukaryota; Metazoa; Chordata; Mammalia; Carnivora; Felidae.